Molecule: long non-coding RNA, 1260 nt
Organism: Canis lupus familiaris (dog)
Lineage: Eukaryota; Metazoa; Chordata; Mammalia; Carnivora; Canidae
Exons: 2
Source: RefSeq, a predicted model, not a curated record
GCCAAUGGAUGGAAUGGUGAAGAGGCAGAUGGUCAAGCCGCCGGCUCUUCUGUGGACCAUCCUAAGACUGACAGGAAUGGUCGGCUCCCCAUUGAGCUUCUCAUGGGAUUUUCUUGAAUCUGCGGUGGCAUUUUCUAAGCAAACUGCUAUUCCCUCCCCCUUCCCUCUUUUGUAAACCUCCCUCCUGGUUCCUGGGAGUGCUGGCCUUCAGAAAUAGGAUAAAGAAGCAGCCUCUGUGCUCUGCUGUCCCUCGACAGCAGAUGGGGGGAGCUGGGAAUACUGUUUUACACAGUGUUAUUUCCUGCACUAAUUUUAAUAUCCAAAAUGUGAAGAUUUAAAUUUUGGGUGCCAAGCAGAACUUGAAUAUUCCCAGCCACUUCCAGGAGGUGAGUUUGCUGUUUGUGAGCCGUGCUGGCUUGGCCGGGGCAAAUGCAGGAGGAUAUGCACCGAGGAUGAGAAGGUUGUUGGAAAUUGCAAGAUGAACUUUUUCUGUUGCCGACGGAGGAUCAGGUGAACCAGACCAGCCCUCCCCUGGCCUUCAAAGUGGGACUUGGUAUUCAAGGGAGGACAAGAGAAGUCGUGUGCCUUACCCAGGUCACACUGUGAGUGAGUCUCAGAAUCAUUCUCCUGUCUUUCUCCCUUGGUUUUGUUUCUUUGCUUAUUUUUUAAGAUAAUCCUUAAAAAAAUCUAGGUCCAAGUGGGCAUCGAGUAGCCUAAUCGGAUACUACUACUAUGUAUUUGUAGAGUCUCUUGUAAUUUAUAAAUCUUUCCUCCAUAUUUUCCUCAUAUGACUCAAGAUCGACUUAUGAUUUCAUUAUCUCCAUUUAUAUUUGAAGAAACUGAGACCCAGAGAAGCUUUCAUUUCUUCAAGGUCAUAGCCUGGAAGCUGGAAAUGGAUGUGCACACCCCUGUCCUGUUCUGUGUAUCUAUCUUUGUAUAAUAAUUUAAACCAAAUAGAUAAACAGAAAUGACAUCUGCAUCUGUGUUUUUGGAAUUACAAUUCUAUACCAUACAAGAAAUUAUUCAUGUUAUUUCUGGGUAUAUCAAUAAGCGAUCAGUCAUUGAUUCUAAUAUUUACACUGUGUUUUUAAGCAACUCAUACCUACUCAGUUAAUGCCCAUGGCCCCAACUUUGUACUUCUCUUCUUGCCAAUAAAUUAAGAUGUUAGAGGUCGAAUUAAAAUGCUCAGCAUGGAUUGUGCAUGUAUGAUUGACUAUCCAUAGCUUUUGUUUAUGAAAUAAAAUUUGUAGCUUCAUAUAA